AUGAACGCUGGCGGCGUGCCUAAUACAUGCAAGUCGAGCGAACAGACGAGGAGCUUGCUCCUCUGACGUUAGCGGCGGACGGGUGAGUAACACGUGGAUAACCUACCUAUAAGACUGGGAUAACUUCGGGAAACCGGAGCUAAUACCGGAUAAUAUAUUGAACCGCAUGGUUCAAUAGUGAAAGACGGUUUUGCUGUCACUUAUAGAUGGAUCCGCGCCGCAUUAGCUAGUUGGUAAGGUAACGGCUUACCAAGGCAACGAUGCGUAGCCGACCUGAGAGGGUGAUCGGCCACACUGGAACUGAGACACGGUCCAGACUCCUACGGGAGGAAGCAGUAGGGAAUCUUCCGCAAUGGGCGAAAGCCUGACGGAGCAACGCCGCGUGAGUGAUGAAGGUCUUCGGAUCGUAAAACUCUGUUAUUAGGGAAGAUCAAAUGUGUAAGUAACUAUGCACGUCUUGACGGUACCUAAUCAGAAAGCCACGGCUAACUACGUG
This 496-nucleotide ribosomal RNA is filed under the name uncultured bacterium. RNAcentral's name for it is "partial 16S ribosomal RNA". It matches the Rfam family "Bacterial small subunit ribosomal RNA", at positions 29 to 507 of the family's 1533-position model. The record is from RNAcentral.